UUCCCCCUUCGGGGGGACAGGGUGACAGGUGGUGCAUGGUUGUCGUCAGCUCGUGUCGUGAGAUGUUGGGUUAAGUCCCGCAACGAGCGCAACCCUCGACCUUAGUUGCCAGCAUUCAGUUGGGCACUCUAAGGUGACUGCCGGCUAAAAGUCGGAGGAAGGUGGGGAUGACGUCAAAUCAUCAUGCCCCUUAUGACCUGGGCUACACACGUGCUACAAUGGGCGGUACAAAGGGUCGCGAACCCGCGAGGGGGAGCCAAUCCCAGAAACCCGAUCGUAGUCCGGAUUGCAGGCUGCAACUCGCCUGCAUGAAGUCGGAAUCGCUAGUAAUCGCGGAUCAGCAUGUCGCGGUGAAUACGUUCCCGGGUCUU
This 371-nucleotide ribosomal RNA is filed under the name uncultured Anoxybacillus sp. RNAcentral describes it as "bacterial SSU rRNA". It matches the Rfam family "Bacterial small subunit ribosomal RNA", at positions 1012 to 1382 of the family's 1533-position model. The record is from RNAcentral. Lineage: Bacteria; Bacillati; Bacillota; Bacilli; Caryophanales; Anoxybacillaceae.